This 925-nucleotide ribosomal RNA is filed under the name Aliiroseovarius halocynthiae. Its description in RNAcentral is "partial 23S rRNA. Bacterial LSU". It matches the Rfam family "Bacterial large subunit ribosomal RNA", at positions 1 to 921 of the family's 2925-position model. The record is from RNAcentral. Lineage: Bacteria; Pseudomonadati; Pseudomonadota; Alphaproteobacteria; Rhodobacterales; Paracoccaceae.
AAUCAAGCGCGAGAAGGGCGUUUGGUGAAUGCCUUGGCAGUAAGAGGCGAUGAAGGACGUGAUACUCUGCGAUAAGCUUUGGGAAGGUGAGAAUAGCCGUUAUACCCAGAGAUCUCCGAAUGGGGGAACCCACCUGACAGUUCAUUAUAAUUACUCACUGGCGAACUCUUCGAGUUCGUUUAGGUAAUUUAUAGUGUUCUGAAACAGGUACUUUUAACCUGAAUACAUAGGGUUUUAAGAGCAAACCCGGGGAACUGAAACAUCUAAGUACCCGGAGGAAAGGAAAUCAAUUGAUACUCCCCUAGUAGCGGCGAGCGAACGGGGACCAGCCGAGCCAUGAGUGUGGAUAGAAUGCGUUGGGAAGCGCAACCAUAGUGGGUGACAGUCCCGUAUAUGAAGCACGAUUGGACGUAUUAAGUAGGGCGGAACACGUGAAAUUCUGUCUGAAGAUCGGAGGACCACCUUCGAAGGCUAAGUACUCCUUACUGACCGAUAGCGAACCAGUACCGUGAGGGAAAGGUGAAAAGCACCCCGACGAGGGGAGUGAAACAGUACCUGAAACCGAACGCCUACAAUCAGUCGGAGGCCCCUUGAGGGCUGACGGCGUACCUUUUGUAUAAUGGGUCAUCGACUUGGUCUAUCUAGCAAGCUUAAGCCGUUAGGUGUAGGCGCAGCGAAAGCGAGUCUUAAUAGGGCGAAUGAGUUAGGUGGAUCAGACCCGAAACCGAGUGAUCUAGGCAUGGCCAGGUUGAAGGUGCAGUAACAUGCACUGGAGGACCGAACCCACAUCUGUUGAAAAAGAUCGGGAUGAGCUGUGCCUAGGGGUGAAAGGCCAAUCAAACUCGGAGAUAGCUGGUUCUCUGCGAAAUCUAUUUAGGUAGAGCGUCGGACGAAUACUCUCGGGGGUAGAGCACUGAAUGGGUAA